Molecule: ribosomal RNA, 516 nt
Filed under: uncultured bacterium
Lineage: Bacteria
Description: bacterial SSU rRNA
Rfam family: Bacterial small subunit ribosomal RNA
Source: RNAcentral
ACGAACGCUGGCGGCGUGCCUAAUACAUGCAAGUCGAACGGUCUUUCUAUGGAAGCUUGCUUCCACUGAGAAGAUAGUGGCGAACGGGUGAGUAACACGUGGGUAACCUGCCCAUAAGAGGGGGAUAACAUCCGGAAACGGGUGCUAAUACCGCAUAGUUUUCUUGAUCGCAUGAUUGAGAAAGGAAAGACAGCCUUUGUGCUGUCGCUUAUGGAUGGACCCGCGGCGUAUUAGUUAGUUGGUGAGGUAACGGCUCACCAAGACGAUGAUACGUAGCCGACCUGAGAGGGUGAUCGGCCACAUUGGGACUGAGACACGGCCCAAACUCCUACGGGAGGCAGCAGUAGGGAAUCUUCCGCAAUGGACGAAAGUCUGACGGAGCAACGCCGCGUGAGUGAAAGAAGGUUUUCGGAUCGUAAAACUCUGUUGUCAGAGAAGAACAAGUUGGAGAGUAACUGCUCCAGCCUUGACGGUAUCUGACCAGAAAGCCACGGCUAACUACGUGCCAGCCGCCGC